RNAcentral lists this ribosomal RNA (1200 nucleotides) under metagenome. RNAcentral describes it as "bacterial SSU rRNA". It matches the Rfam family "Bacterial small subunit ribosomal RNA", at positions 244 to 1459 of the family's 1533-position model. The record is from RNAcentral.
GCUAGUUGGUGAGGUAAUGGCUCACCAAGGCAAUGACGGGUAGCGGUUCUGAGAGGAUGAUCCGCCACACUGGUACUGAGACACGGACCAGACUCCUACGGGAGGCAGCAGUGAGGAAUAUUGCACAAUGGGGGAAACCCUGAUGCAGCAACGCCGCGUGGAGGAUGACGCAUUUCGGUGUGUAAACUCCUUUUAUAUGUCAAGAAAAUGACGGUAGCAUAUGAAUAAGCACCGGCUAACUCCGUGCCAGCAGCCGCGGUAAUACGGAGGGUGCAAGCGUUACUCGGAAUCACUGGGCGUAAAGGACGCGUAGGCUGUUUAGCAAGUCAGAUGUGAAAUCCAAUGGCUCAACCAUUGAACUGCAUUUGAAACUGCUAGACUAGAGUAUGGGAGGGGGAGAUGGAAUUAGUGGUGUAGGGGUAAAAUCCGUAGAUAUCACUAGGAAUACCUAAAGCGAAGGCGAUCUCCUGGAACAUUACUGACGCUAAGGCGUGAAAGCGUGGGGAGCAAACAGGAUUAGAUACCCUGGUAGUCCACGCCCUAAACGAUGAACACUAGUCGUCGCGAUGCUUGUCAUUGCGGUGAUGCACUUAACAGAUUAAGUGUUCCGCCUGGGGAGUACGGUCGCAAGAUUAAAACUCAAAGGAAUAGACGGGGACCCGCACAAGUGGUGGAGCAUGUGGUUUAAUUCGAAAAUACGCGAAAAACCUUACCUAGCCUUGACAUUGAUAGAAUACUGUAGAGAUACGGUAGUGCCCUUCGGGGAGCUUGAAAACAGGUGCUGCACGGCUGUCGUCAGCUCGUGUCGUGAGAUGUUGGGUUAAGUCCCGCAACGAGCGCAACCCUCGUCCUUAGUUGCCAGCAGGUUAAGCUGGGCACUCUAGGGAGACUGCCUUCGUAAGGAGGAGGAAGGUGAGGACGACGUCAAGUCAUCAUGGCCCUUAUGGCUAGGGCUACACACGUGCUACAAUGGGGCGUACAGAGUGUUGCAAUACCGCGAGGUGGAGCCAAUCACUUAAAGCGUCUCUCAGUUCGGAUUGUUCUCUGCAACUCGAGAACAUGAAGCUGGAAUCACUAGUAAUCGUAGAUCAGCAUUGCUACGGUGAAUACGUUCCCGGGUCUUGUACUCACCGCCCGUCACACCAUGGGAGUUGAUUUCACCCGAAAUUGGGAAGCUAACCUUCGGGGGGCUACCACUUA